UAANACAUGCAAGUCGAACGGUAGCACAGAGGAGCUUGCUCCUUGGGUGACGAGUGGCGGACGGGUGAGUAAUGUCUGGGAAACUGCCUGAUGGAGGGGGAUAACUACUGGAAACGGUAGCUAAUACCGCAUAACGUCGCAAGACCAAAGAGGGGGACCUUCGGGCCUCUUGCCAUCAGAUGUGCCCAGAUGGGAUUAGCUAGUAGGUGGGGUAAUGGCUCACCUAGGCGACGAUCCCUAGCUGGUCUGAGAGGAUGACCAGCCACACUGGAACUGAGACACGGUCCAGACUCCUACGGGAGGCAGCAGUGGGGAAUAUUGCACAAUGGGCGCAAGCCUGAUGCAGCCAUGCCGCGUGUAUGAAGAAGGCCUUCGGGUUGUAAAGUACUUUCAGCGGGGAGGAAGGCGAUACGGUUAAUAACCGUGUCGAUUGACGUUACCCGCAGAAGAAGCACCGGCUAACUCCGUGCCAGCAGCCGCGGUAAUACGGAGGGUGCAAGCGUUAAUCGGAAUUACUGGGCGUAAAGCGCACGCAGGCGGUCUGUCAAGUCGGAUGUGAAAUCCCCGGGCUCAACCUGGGAACUGCAUUCGAAACUGACAGGCUAGAGUCUUGUAGAGGGGGGUAGAAUUCCAGGUGUAGCGGUGAAAUGCGUAGAGAUCUGGAGGAAUACCGGUGGCGA
Molecule: ribosomal RNA, 680 nt
Filed under: Pseudescherichia vulneris (CDC Enteric Group 1)
Lineage: Bacteria; Pseudomonadati; Pseudomonadota; Gammaproteobacteria; Enterobacterales; Enterobacteriaceae
Description: bacterial SSU rRNA
Rfam family: Bacterial small subunit ribosomal RNA
Source: RNAcentral